Molecule: long non-coding RNA, 213 nt
Filed under: Monodelphis domestica (gray short-tailed opossum)
Lineage: Eukaryota; Metazoa; Chordata; Mammalia; Didelphimorphia; Didelphidae
Description: lncRNA (ENSMODG00000044028.1)
Source: RNAcentral
CUUCCAGUGAGUGGUCCCUUGGUAGACAGCUUGUCGUCCAUGUCGAUGUCAAAACUACUUGGACAAAAAGAUAUCUUGAAAAUUAGUUCUCUGAAAAUGGAAAACAGUAUGGCAGAAAUGAGACAGAGACUGUCACCUCAUGCCAUAUACCAAGGCACUGAAGUCCAAUGGCAAGAAAAGAGUCAGGAUAACUGGCGAUGCCCCUGGGUGUAG